This is a non-coding RNA of Mycena rebaudengoi, 93 nucleotides long. The record is from the annotation of a GenBank genome assembly. NCBI's taxonomy places the organism in Eukaryota, Fungi, Basidiomycota, Agaricomycetes, Agaricales, Mycenaceae.
GGCCUGAUGGUGUAGUUGGAAACAUGUCCUCUUUAUGUAUGAAGUUGGUGUCUUCUUCAGAGGAAGUUCCUUGUUCGAAUCAAGGUCAAGCUG